GCUGGGUGUGGUGGCGCACUCCUGUGAUCCCAGCGGCUUGGGAGGCUGAGGCAGGAGGAUCAGGAGUUCACAACUCAGGGAGACUCUGUCUCUA
RNAcentral lists this small RNA (94 nucleotides) under Marmota monax (woodchuck). Lineage: Eukaryota; Metazoa; Chordata; Mammalia; Rodentia; Sciuridae. The record is from RNAcentral.